Molecule: regulatory RNA element, 207 nt
Organism: Rahnella aquatilis
Lineage: Bacteria; Pseudomonadati; Pseudomonadota; Gammaproteobacteria; Enterobacterales; Yersiniaceae
Rfam family: rncO
About the family: This family represents a bacterial regulatory element (rncO) found in the rnc leader sequence.
Source: Rfam
GGCGAUAAAAGUUGGCUCCCCUGAUUUUAAAUUUUAUUUAAAACCAACAGAGGGAGCCACUGCAAACGAAACAGCUUUGGAUUGGCUUAGGGCGAAGCAGGCCUGUUCCGUAUGCUGAAGUUUUUGACGCAUUCUUAGUCUAUUGGUAACUCAUGAAUCCCAUCGUAAUAAACAGGCUUCAGCGGAAGCUGGGCUACACUUUUCAAC